UACGUAGGGUGCAAGCGUUGUCCGGAAUUAUUGGGCGUAAAGAGCUCGUAGGCGGUUUGUCGCGUCUGCUGUGAAAACUGGAGGCUCAACCUCCAGCCUGCAGUGGGUACGGGCAGACUAGAGUGCGGUAGGGGAGACUGGAAUUCCUGGUGUAGCGGUGAAAUGCGCAGAUAUCAGGAGGAACACCGGUGGCGAAGGCGGGUCUCUGGGCCGUAACUGACGCUGGAGGAGCGAAAGCGUGGGGAGCGAACAGG
RNAcentral lists this ribosomal RNA (254 nucleotides) under uncultured bacterium. RNAcentral describes it as "partial 16S ribosomal RNA". It matches the Rfam family "Bacterial small subunit ribosomal RNA", at positions 524 to 776 of the family's 1533-position model. The record is from RNAcentral.